AACGUCGGUUCCCCGCAAGGGGCCUGGCCACAGGUGUUGCAUGGCUGUCGUCAGCUCGUGUCGUGGGAUGUUGGGUUAAGUCCCGCAACGAGCGCAACCCCUACUGUGUGUUGUAUCACUCACACGGGACUGCCGAGAGAAACUCGGAGGAAGGUGGGGAUGACGUCAAGUCAGCAUGGCCCUUACGCCCUGGGCUACACCCACGCUACAAUGGCCGGUACAACGGGCUGCGAAACCGCGAGGUGGAGCGAAUCCCUUAAAGCCGGUCUCAGUUCGGAUCGUAGGCUGCAACUCGCCUACAUGAAGCCGGAGUUGCUAGUAACCGCCGGUCAGCAUACGGCGGUGAAUAUGUUCCCGGGCCUUGUACACACCGCCCGUCACGUCAUGAAAGCUGGCAACACCCGAAGCCGGUGGGCCAACCGCAAGGAGGCAGCCGUCGAAGGUGGGGUUGGUGAUUGGGACGAAGUCGUAACAAGGUAGCCGU
This 484-nucleotide ribosomal RNA is filed under the name uncultured Ktedonobacteria bacterium. Its description in RNAcentral is "bacterial SSU rRNA". It matches the Rfam family "Bacterial small subunit ribosomal RNA", at positions 1005 to 1503 of the family's 1533-position model. Lineage: Bacteria; Bacillati; Chloroflexota; Ktedonobacteria. The record is from RNAcentral.